RNAcentral lists this ribosomal RNA (253 nucleotides) under uncultured bacterium. RNAcentral's name for it is "partial 16S ribosomal RNA". It matches the Rfam family "Bacterial small subunit ribosomal RNA", at positions 524 to 776 of the family's 1533-position model. The record is from RNAcentral.
UACGUAGGGGGCAAGCGUUGUCCGGAAUCAUUGGGCGUAAAGCGUGCGCAGGCGGUUGUGCAAGACAGGUGUGAAAUCCCCGGGCUUAACCUGGGAACUGCACUUGUGACUGCACAGCUGGAGUGCGGCAGAGGGGGAUGGAAUUCCGCGUGUAGCAGUGAAAUGCGUAGAUAUGCGGAGGAACACCGAUGGCGAAGGCAAUCCCCUGGGCCUGCACUGACGCUCAUGCACGAAAGCGUGGGGAGCAAACAGG